CUGCUCACUGUCAACACCACUGGGACACCUUCUCUACUAUUCCUUUGCGGCAAUUUCUCACGGAGUAACAUCUGCUUGGGAGACCACUUUGGAAGGAACAACAUCUAAAGUUGAAAAUAGCGUCAUGCAUCCUUGGGUAGCCAUCCUGGGCUUCCUACUCCUUCUGAUAGAUGGUGUAACGUCUUACCUACAUGUGAUUGGAGUGGAGGGUCAGUCUGUCAGGCUACCCUGCUCCUAUAAAGGAAAAGUCACAUCCACGUGCUGGGGCCGAGGGGAAUGUUCUUGGUUAGACUGCAAAAAUACCAUUAUCAGUAC
This is a long non-coding RNA of Dama dama (fallow deer), 315 nucleotides long. RefSeq lists it as uncharacterized. The transcript has 3 exons. Lineage: Eukaryota; Metazoa; Chordata; Mammalia; Artiodactyla; Cervidae. The record is from RefSeq and is a predicted model, not a curated record.